GAGGAUCUGUCUUAGGGGACUCUGGGUGGUGCCUAGGAGGACCUGCAGAGGAGUUUCUGCCUCUCUGCUCAGGCCAGUUCUCCAGCGCCCUCUGUGGCGGCUGAGAGCAGGCCCUCUAAGGAAGAGAGCUCCGGGCAUAGAGAGCUCAGGCCUGCAGCAGAGGGAGUGCAGAUGUGGGGGAAGCUGACCCUGGAGUUAACAGGCUCAGACCUUAAAGGGGGUAGUCUCACAGCAGGUUCACACCCAGCACUUCAGAGUUUCAGCAAGUAAGGCAACUGCAAGACCCUCAUUCUGCCGGGAAGCUUCUGAUUAGGGCCCUAAACCACCAUCCUUUUCACAUCUGCAAGGACACUAGAGGCAACACCCAGGGUCACUCUGAGAGGGCCUGAACCUGCUUUAUUAACAGGAUCGAGGGUCAGGACCGAAGUAAGUCGUGAUGCAGGAAAUGAGUGCGUUUCACAGCUUGCUGAGCCCCUACUCGACCCAGGAAGCCCAGCUGGCCCCUCCUCUCAACAGGAGUGAGAAUCAGCUCAAAUUUUGCAGUUUCUGCUGUCAUCACAGCUGGGAAUGAGAAAGGGAAGGGGCUCCAGUUGGUCUCCCUCUGCCUCUGGAGCACACGUGGAGGACAUGAGGCUUCCGCAGGAACAGCUCUGAAAGCUGAGUUCUCGGGUCCCUGUGAAGGAGGGAAGCUUGCCUGCCUUGGAGCGUGAAAAAGUCUUGCUGGACAGAAGUCUCACGGUUUAAAACUGGGAAGGGAGAGGAUUGAGAUCACACUAGAAUGCACAGAAAAUUCUUAAAACAAAAAAAUGAGAGAAACUUCAUCAGAAUGUGAAAAGAACUAUAAAGCUACAGUGCUGAAGAGAGGGCAAUACUGGCACUAGAAUGAGAAGAUUCAUGGAACACAGUGGAAAAUGCAGUAAGAGAGCUGCAUGUAUGUAAUAUUUUAUCAUGUGAUAAAGUGAUAUAUUAAUAUUCACAA
This 979-nucleotide long non-coding RNA is filed under the name Homo sapiens (human). Its description in RNAcentral is "T cell receptor gamma locus antisense RNA 1". The record is from RNAcentral. Lineage: Eukaryota; Metazoa; Chordata; Mammalia; Primates; Hominidae.